RNAcentral lists this ribosomal RNA (480 nucleotides) under uncultured Actinomycetes bacterium. RNAcentral describes it as "bacterial SSU rRNA". It matches the Rfam family "Bacterial small subunit ribosomal RNA", at positions 348 to 824 of the family's 1533-position model. Lineage: Bacteria; Bacillati; Actinomycetota; Actinomycetes. The record is from RNAcentral.
GCAGCAGUGCGGUAUCUUGCGCAAUGGGCGGAAGCCUGACGCAGCAACGCCUCGUGCGGGAAGAAGGCCUUCGGGUUGUAAACCGCUUUCAGCAGGGACGAAGGCGAGCGGGUUAAUAGCCCGUCAGUUGACUGUACCUGCAGAAGAAGGUCCGGCUAACUACGUGCCAGCAGCCGCGGUAAUACGUAGGGACCGAGCGUUGUCCGGAAUCAUUGGGCGUAAAGAGCGUGAGGCGGCCCUUAAGUCCUGCGUGAAAUCCUGCGGCUCAACCGCAGACGGUCGUGGGAAACUGGAGGGCUAGAGUGCGGGAGAGGAGAGUGGAAUUCCCGGUGUAGCGGUGAAAUGCGCAGAUAUCGGGAAGAACACCCGUGGCGAAGGCGGCUCUCUGGAACGCAACUGACGCUGAGACGCGAAAGCGUGGGGAGCAAACAGGAUUAGAUACCCUGGUAGAUCCUACGGGAGGCAGCAGGAUUAGAUACC